AGUGAACGCUGGCGGUAGGCCUAACACAUGCAAGUCGAACGGCAGCACAGUAAGAGCUUGCUCUUAUGGGUGGCGAGUGGCGGACGGGUGAGGAAUACAUCGGAAUCUACCUUUUCGUGGGGGAUAACGUAGGGAAACUUACGCUAAUACCGCAUACGACCUUCGGGUGAAAGCAGGGGACCUUCGGNCCUUGCGCGGAUAGAUGAGCCGAUGUCGGAUUAGCUAGUUGGCGGGGUAAAGGCCCACCAAGGCGACGAUCCGUAGCUGGUCUGAGAGGAUGAUCAGCCACACUGGAACUGAGACACGGUC
Molecule: ribosomal RNA, 309 nt
Filed under: uncultured bacterium
Lineage: Bacteria
Description: bacterial SSU rRNA
Rfam family: Bacterial small subunit ribosomal RNA
Source: RNAcentral